CAGACACGUCUUUUACAACAACGCAUCUUUAUAUAAAAAUGAAAUCUAAUGUCUCAAACGUUGUGAUUUUUAUCGUGAUAAAACAAAAUGGAUCGUACGUAAUUCGAUAAAAUAAUAUAAAACGAAACAUGUUGUGCAUCCAUUAUUUCCUUAUAAAACGAAACAAAUUGACCUAAUAUUUCAAUUUUACUACAAUACAAUAACGACUUCAUAUCUUGAAAAUUGUCACUGUUACGCUGCUGAUUUGUAUAUAGAUAUUAUAUAUCAAAGUGUAUAAAAUAUCAUAAGUAAUGCUACAGAUAUUUGGCAAAAAAUGGAGGCUAUAUCUGCAAUCGCCACUGAAAGUUGUGUAACUGGUACGCACAUACUUCUGCAAGCGGCUAAUAUAAUUCGAAGGAUCUGUAGAAUACCCAAGUUCGCCCAGUCUUCGUUUAUAUAUUGCAUGUAAAUGGAAGAUGAGAAUUAGGUUUGGUCUAUUAAAUAGAUGGUCUGUUAAAUGAUUAUAUGAAAGCUAUGAACAAUGAUCCAUUAGAGAUGCACGCAGAUAUGACU
Long non-coding RNA from Bombus pyrosoma, 552 nucleotides. RefSeq lists it as uncharacterized. Lineage: Eukaryota; Metazoa; Arthropoda; Insecta; Hymenoptera; Apidae. The record is from RefSeq and is a predicted model, not a curated record. The transcript is spliced from 3 exons.